UUAAGUUCAGCGGGUAUUCCUACCUGAUCCGAGGUCAACCUUGGUGAAAGGGGGUGUUUAACGGCAAGAACCCGCCGCACGACCAAAGCGAGAUGUAUUACUGCGCUCGGUGUGACUAGCGAGCCCGCCACUGGUUUCAGGGCCUGCGGGCAGCCGCAGGACCCCAACGCAAGCAGGGCUUGAUGGUUGAAAUGACGCUC
RNAcentral lists this unclassified non-coding RNA (200 nucleotides) under uncultured Cercophora. RNAcentral describes it as "sequence contains ITS2". The record is from RNAcentral. Lineage: Eukaryota; Fungi; Ascomycota; Sordariomycetes; Sordariales; Lasiosphaeriaceae.